UAAGAAACAGGACUUUACAAAGGCUUUCUAUUGGCAGCACACCGGAGAAAUUCUGCGUCCCCAAGUGUCACAGCUAAGUCCUUAUUCUUCAAAAGAACAAUUCCAUCCCUGCAUGCUGGAGCAUACCUUGCAAGCCAGCCAGAAAUAGGCACUGUGGGAAGCAAAUUUUUCACUAAAGCGAAGAAGACCGGUCACUGGCCUUCCAAAUGUUCUUUUCAUUACCAUCUAUCAAAGUAAUGGAAACCUAGCUGAAGGAAUCUUGAUGGUGUGAAAGCAGCUCACAACAUUUAUAGUGUCGGGUCAGUAUUUGUGGACCAAUCAUCGGAGGCAAAUAGAGUCACAAAUGCAGCUAGUUUCUGAGGACCGAUCCAAACAUCCUGGAACCCAAGAGGUUAAGACAGCAGAAUUUCUUCCAACUGUGGUAGAAGAAAUAUAUUUUAAAAGGAUGAAAAAGAUAUUCUGAGACCUCCACUGUGGAAGACCUGAGUUAAAAUAAUGAUUUUUCAUUCAUUACACUUCAUUUCAGAAUGGGCGUCUGAGUAUACACAAGUCUCAUUAACUUCACAUGCACAAUUAACACCAAGUAUUUAUUCAAAAUAUUUACCUUUAAAUGAGAAAAUAUUUGACUCUAGAUGCAUACUAUAUUAUAUUCUGCAAUAUAGAUCACAUUAUGUUCUGCAAUACAGUAUUUUCUAUACUGUAUUGUAUGGAAAACAACUGCAAAAAUGAUGUUUGUGUCUAGUAUGCAGUAGAAGUUUAGACAUACAUGUCAUGCACUAGGACAUGGUUGAAAUAUGAAAAGAUAAAAUAGUAAUCGAAAAUACACAUGUGGCUUCUCUAGGUUUCCUAUAGCAUAAAAGUAGGUUUCUAUAUUUUCCUAGAUCAACAAUAAAGGUACAGAAACAACUGUGGCCUUGUCGUCUGUGGCUUACAUGGGAAAUAUCAUUUUGUUACGAAGCAUGCAGGCACUAAAUCGGCUGUUGUUGGUAGUUCUAUGUAUACGGGAUAUGACAUUACACUGACUUUCUUAUGAUCACAAGAUGUCUAUACUACCUCAGAGGAUCAUAUUCUCAAAAUACGUCCAAAGACAGCAAUGUAUCUGCUAUUUUUAUCAAUGAACAAGGGUUUCCUUACAUUACAUAAUACUCACCUUUUAUCUCCUUGCCCAGAAUAAUAGGUUGCAUCAUACCCUGCUGUGAAUAAGAUUGCCAAAGUCUGUACUGUAUGUAUGUAGAAAAAGUGGUCAGCAAGAUCAAAACUAGCUUACGCUAAUUAUGCUAAUUUCCAUGGGGCUAGUCACUAGAAAAUCUUGAACAAGAUUAGCAAGUGAGAGGCAUAUAAUAUGGCUAUCAGGCAAAAUCAAAUAAUUUUAAUGAGAAGAAAAUAACAUGA
Molecule: long non-coding RNA, 1392 nt
Organism: Chinchilla lanigera (long-tailed chinchilla)
Lineage: Eukaryota; Metazoa; Chordata; Mammalia; Rodentia; Chinchillidae
Exons: 3
Source: RefSeq, a predicted model, not a curated record